RNAcentral lists this unclassified non-coding RNA (340 nucleotides) under soil metagenome. RNAcentral describes it as "partial contains 5.8S ribosomal RNA, internal transcribed spacer 2, and large subunit ribosomal RNA". The stretch from base 1 to 120 matches the Rfam family "5.8S ribosomal RNA", at positions 35 to 154 of the family's 154-position model. The record is from RNAcentral.
GAUGAAGAACGCAGCGAAACGCGAUAGUUAAUGUGAAUUGCAGAAUUCAGAGAAUCAUCGAGUCUUUGAACGCACAUUGCGCCCAUUGGUAUUCCGUUGGGCAUGUCUGUUUGAGCGUCAUUACAACAGUUCAGCGUAAGCUGGUUAUGAGUUCUGUUUUUUUAAACAAAAAACAGGCUUUAAAAUGUAUGUUCUGCAGGUCGCUUUGCUAAACCCUAAACAUUAAAUACUGUUCUAGUGAAGCAUUUGCGACUCUGCCUGAAAAAAAACUUUUGUUAAAGUUUGACCUCAGAUCAGACAAGGAUACCCGCUGAACUUAAGCAUAUCAAUAAGCGGAGGA